GGACCUACAAGAUCAUUUAGUCCAACCAUCCUUCCUUUACCAUACCUACAGAAAAAACAGGGGCAGGGAGGUCUCUCACUUCUCAGUUGCCACUUUGGGUAAAGGUUCUGGAGUGGGUCAUAAAGAGAAUAUGCCAGUAACUCUUUGGGGAGAUCUCAUUAUGCUGUUAAUUGAACCAAGCAGAAGCUCUAAGAAGCUCAGAUAUUGAGGAAAAGCCAUGAAGAAUAUAUGUGCCACAGAAAGUCACAGUAUGACACAUGUAGGUUGAAAGCUCUUGAAGACCCUCAAGGCUGGAGGGAAGGGCCCACCAUGUGUAUUUGUUUCUGGGAAAAGGAAAACUGAGCUAUUUCUCUCACACAAUCCAUUGUUAUCUGAGUUGAUUGCACCCAGCAUUUGGGAAGCCUCAGAGCCAGCUCCCAAAGCUGUGCUGUCUGUAUCAUCCCUGCUCUUGCUUGUGUCAGACACUGGGAAAAAGGGUGCCAAAUGCUUCCAAGCUGAAUUUAUGGCUGGGGAGGCCCCUGCUCAAAGGUCCUGUGAGGAAUUCCCAGGCUGACAGGAGAGCUGAUGGCCUUUGACACAUUGCUUAGUUUCUUCUUUGGCAUGCAAGUAUCCUUGUCGGUGAGAGAAAGAGAUAGCUGGGUAAGGGUCACCUCAUUUUUCUGCUCUUCAUCUUCAGGAAUUGGCUGCAGGCUGCUGUGAGAUGCAAGUUACACUGCAGCCUCGUGCAGAUACUGUAAGGGGAGUCCUGUGGUCUUGCAGAAUUCCUGGGAUAACUGCUGAGAGCUCUGCACCUCGUGCUACAGAUCACGCUGCCUGUCCUCUGAGCAUGGGGCAGUGUAGCUCUACAGCUUGCUAGAUCAAGGCAGCGAGUUUCUCAAGUUUCAGAUGCCUCCCCACUCCUUUUAUUUAGCCUUUACAUGCCCUUCUCAAGGUCUCAUUUCAUUCCACCAACGUGAUAGGGCUGGAAGGACUGCACAGGAGUUUGGCUGUGCUGAGCACGCAACAGGAACAACUACUGCACAGAAGGCUGUGCUUACUCUCAGUGAGACCAUAUAUCCUGUGUCUCUAGCAUCCCUAUAACUUUAGCAGACCAGUCCAACAGCUUACCAUGUGAGUGCAGUUUUAACUUGUGUAUUAUCACCUUGGUGUCCCAUACAUCUCCUGCCCUUUGCUCCCUGCUGAGAUGAGAAUAGUGAGUGCAUUAAGGAGACCAAGUCAUAUGUGAGGCCUGUAGAGCUAUUUUGUCAAGAGGUUACUUUGGAUGAGUUCCUCUGUUGAGAGUUACUUUGGAUGUUUUCUACAGGGAACAUAAAGCCCUGUGCAUAGCAGGCACAGCAUCAUUAAUUUUGGUUCCCUUCACCUGAAUUAACUUUUCUUGUUGCUGCCCUUUCACUGCUUGCUCUCGUGAAGUCCUCACAGGAUUUCAUUUAGGUGGUUGAGGUUGCAGAUGAGCUAUAGGUCCUCUGUGGCUCGACCAAUGAACUGUCAUGCAAGUGAGAAUUGUGCUGCUUCUUUCUUUCCCUUCCCAGUGCUGUGCUCUCCCCGCAACAAGUUCAGCUUCCGCUGGCACGAGAUCCACUUACAAGCUUUGAAACUGGAUUCCCUGACUGGUGGUGACCCAUGCAACGUGCAAUGGCUGGUGCAGCAGAUUAAUUUACCACUCACCUGUUUGCACAUCAAUUGCUUUGCCACUUGGAAUGGAAACUGACAAUGAAUGUUUCUGAAUGAAGCAGAUUUCACUUUCGACAAAGAAAACAGGACUGUUGUGAGCCGAGCACUCACAGUGCAGGCCAGACUUGUAAGAUAGCCAGCUGAGCACGGCCGACGAAAGACCCAUCUGCUCCACCACGUGUACAUGGGUAAAAUAAAACACACUCUGCUGUCACUGUCAACAAGGGUAAUUUAUCGUUAUGACCAAGACAGCCAGGAAAGUGCCUUUUUGUUUUCUUGGAAAACAUACACUGCACUGCAAUACUGGUGAGUGCCAGAAGCAUUGCUUUUAUUAGGCUUUUUGAAAGAGUUUUUGGGAGUUGUUUUUUGUUUUUUAUCCUUAAGAAAAGCUUAUACUUCACAAUGAAGCAGUGGUUUAUAUGUUUACUGGAGCUUCUGGCACACUGCAAUCGAUCACUGAACUUAAAAGUUUAAUAGUGUUCUAUAGAAGCUCUUGAGCAACAGAGGAGGGAACUGCAUGUGCAAGUUGAUGAGCUCCACCAUUUGGGUUUGUCCAACUCUUCUUGGACUUUUCUUCUUUUCCCAAACCCCAAACUCCCCGCAGAAUGCUUUGCCAAGGCUGCCAUCAAUGCAAGAAACUGGACUGUGUAUUCUGGUGUUAUGCAGUGUGAAAAUUGUUACAGUCUUCACUUACCAGAAUUACCAGCUAAAUCAUGGACAAGUAGGAUUAAGUAGCUCAAGAGCUGUACAUAAAACAAGCUGCGUGUGUACUGAAUAGAUUAAAAGCUGAUGGAUGCAACAUCCGGAACUAUAUGUGUUUCUGGCAUGAGACCAGCUAAUAGUGCAAAAUGGAUUUUGUACCUGUUGAUGCAAGAAAUAAGACAACUCAGUUCCUAGGCUGGGAAAAAAGAAAUGACCAUGUAGCACUAUCAGAAAGCAAUGCUUAUUGUUGGAAACUUGCUUGUCUAUACACAAGCCUCAUUUCUUUCAAGCUAAUGCAAGGAAACCUUGUUUGCUAUGUGCUAAAGGUACUGUGAAAAGGAAAAAAGGAGGUAAGAACUUCAUGCUCCACUGGGAUUUAACAUCAAACAAUGGCUGAACGUGCAGAGAGGAAAUAAUGUGGCUUUUUCCAGGCUGAACAAACAGUUCUGUCCCAGCUCUGCAGCUAUGCAGCACACCACAUUUCAGUGUGAGUAAACUGAAUUCUUGCAAACUACAAAAAUCUUGGAUCUUUAUAACAUGGACUGCCAUUAUAUUGGAAAUGUCAUCAGUUAAUUUAUUUCUCAUAAAUAAAAACAAUAAAUAUUUCAUAACUUA
This is a non-coding RNA of Coturnix japonica (Japanese quail), 2988 nucleotides long. The record is from RefSeq and is a predicted model, not a curated record. NCBI's taxonomy places the organism in Eukaryota, Metazoa, Chordata, Aves, Galliformes, Phasianidae.